UACAGAGGGUGCGAGCGUUGUCCGGAAUCACUGGGCUUAAAGGGCGCGUAGGCGGACACUCAAGUCGGUGGUGAAAUCCUCCGGCUCAGCCGGAGAAGAGCUGUCGAUACUGGGUGUCUCGAGGGGUGUAGGGGUCUGUGGAACUUUGGGUGGAGCGGUGAAAUGCGUAGAGAUCCAAAGGAACGCCGGUGGCGAAAGCGACGGACUGGACACCUUCUGACGCUGAGGCGCGAAAGCCAGGGGAGCAAACGGG
Molecule: ribosomal RNA, 253 nt
Filed under: uncultured bacterium
Lineage: Bacteria
Description: partial 16S ribosomal RNA
Rfam family: Bacterial small subunit ribosomal RNA
Source: RNAcentral